Alligator mississippiensis (American alligator) is the source of this 2579-nucleotide long non-coding RNA. RefSeq lists it as uncharacterized. The record is from RefSeq and is a predicted model, not a curated record. The transcript has 2 exons. Lineage: Eukaryota; Metazoa; Chordata; Crocodylia; Alligatoridae.
AAGAUUAUCUUUAAACCUGCAUAUAGUCUUUGACUUCAAUAGUAAAAAGUCAGGUGCUUGUGGCCAAGCCCAUGAAAGUCUUUUGUAGGAUCAGGGUCUAAAUUACUAAAAUUUACGGGUACCACCCUUUCCUCUGGUUCUCACCUGCCACAACUUGGAUCUCAAAAAGGGAGGAAAGAGAUUAAUGAGAUGUUAAUUGGUACCCAUGGAAUAACCUGUCCCGAUCUAUUACAUUGAUCAAUGCAUUUUAUUACUUUUCUUAUCUUUUCCCUUACAGUGGCCCAGGUUGGAGAUGGCAAUAGGCUCGAGCCUCUCCCUGGACCACCCUGAGACUCAAGGGGAGACCUUCAGCUGCAGGAUCUCCCAGACUUGAUCACAAAAAGCACCAAGGAUCCAUUCACAGACCAUGCUGGGACAAGAAAUGCAAAACCGGUCAACAUAUCUCCACCAGCCCCACAAUAACUACACCCCACAAUAGAACCAUCACCAUUCCUGGAUCCUACACCUGCACCUCCAGAAAUGUAAUAUACCUCAUCCAAUGCACCAAAUGCCCUGAUAGAAAAUAUGUAGGAGAAACAAAACAACAACUGUGCACCAAAAUGAACGGACGCUGAAAAUCUAGCAAAUACGAGAUAAUUCUUGUACAAGAAUACCCAACUACCUGCGGGGGCACACUUCUCACAAGACAGUCACUCCCUCUCCGAACUCUCAGUUCUAAUCCUCAAAGGGAACUUACAAAACACCUUUUGUAGUUAAGCCUACCAACUUCACUUCAUAAAUCUACUGGAUACAAAAAAUCAUGGACUCAAUAUACAAGUACACCCCUGAAACACCGAAGAUGCUGCAUUUUAGCUGCUUUUGGAUUUUCAAUGUCUAUAUUGAGUCCAUACAAAAAGCUAAGAACUUUUUUCCAACUACUCAGUUAGUCUAAUAAAAUAUAUCAAAUCUACUCAAAGAACCUUGCCUACCUUUUAGGUGAAUGGAUUUUCAGAAUGGAUUGGGAUCAUAUUUAGAUGUCUCAAAGGUGGAACAGGAUCCAACCCUGAGACUUUCGUGAUAGAUACUCCACAAACACAGAAUAAACAACAAAAGAAUGAAAGAGACUGGUAAGGGAUGAGUAAUUAAAAACAUUAUCCACUUUUUCCAGAUGUGGAUCAAGGUACAACAAGUACUUAACUUAUCCAUUCAAGAUAAUACAGAAAGCCUAUGGUUAAGUAGGGAACUGAACCCAAAUCUCUUAAGUUCCAGCUUAGUACCUAACCACUGGACUAUAAUGAUCACUGGGUUCAAUAAAUAGAGACAUACAAGAAUGAGAAGAACUAACAACAAACUUUAAGUGUGGAGCAGUAGGCAAACUUCUGCAGGUCCUUUGUCUCUCUCUAAUUGAGAAAUGAGCUACUUAACUAGGAAACCAUCUCCCAACUGCCCUAGUCCCUCAGUCUCCUUUUAGGUUGCUUCCUUAACUUAUUACUUCUAUCAAUACAACUUCCCACUUAGCAACUACAAAAAUAAAUUAACAUAAACUUCCAUUAACACCCAUCUACAGAGGAAAGGUUACUAGUACUGCACUCUGAAGUGCAACUUUAUCACUCACUUUCCCUUUCACGCUUCUGCAGCUCUCUUAACAUGUCUUCGAGAAACUGUCUUCUCAGAUUGACAAAUUAUUGGUUUGGGUGGGGAGCUUUCCCUCCAAGCAGUGCUGAUGCAUAGGGGGUGCAUGGGGGUGUGAGUGCCGGUGCACCCCCUGAGCAGCUGCGCUUGCUGCUUAAGUGAUGGGCAGGGGGGGCAAGCAGGAACACCGGUACCCACCCCUUCAAGCGCCAGCCAAUCGCUGCAGCCGCUACCAAAAGCAGCUGCAGCCACUCCCAGAAGCGGCUGCAGUGAUCGGCCGUUGCGGGAUUGGCCAGUUAGCAGGAUCAGCCAUGGAGGGGACCGCCCCGCCGGUUGGCAGGAUCAGUCAUGGGGGGACUUCUCCUGUUGGCCGGACUGGUCAUGGGGCAGUGGGAGGGGGCACGUGCCCCCCACCCCGACUAAGGUGUCACCAGUCAUCCAUGCCUCCUUGAUAGACUUAAAUCUUUAUACUGGGAUCCAGUUGACUUGUGCUUUUGGCAACCGUGCUUUUGACCAUCGUAUUGAGUUAAUUGCCUACAAACUGCUGAGGCUGAUUCUUUUUUCUGCGUGAUAAUAUUUGCAUUUGUGUUUGAAGGAACUUUUCUUAAGGACAUGGUUAUGACUAGUGCUAUGUAUCAAAUUAUUUCUUAAGAAAAUUGUCCAGAAUAGGGCUGGGACAGCCAAGAAGCUCAUCAGGAAGCCUGACUGUUGUACCUUCUUGUACUGCAAACACACAUUUAAGUAGAUUCAGUUUCUCACAAACUGUUGGGCAUAAAAUUGAUGUCACCUCCCUUGGAACCACAAUGAGUUUGUACAAAUGUAUAUGUCUAUAUCAGACGUGAACAACACAUCUCCCUUUCACUAGUUUAUUUGUUCCUGAAUGUACAGUUAUUUUAAUAUUUGUUGGACUUAGUUUUGGACUAAAUUUCAAUUUUCUACAUACCUAUUCUAGUAAAAUAUUAACCUGA